Molecule: ribosomal RNA, 2904 nt
Filed under: Escherichia coli
Lineage: Bacteria; Pseudomonadati; Pseudomonadota; Gammaproteobacteria; Enterobacterales; Enterobacteriaceae
Description: 23S ribosomal RNA
Rfam family: Bacterial large subunit ribosomal RNA
Source: RNAcentral
GGUUAAGCGACUAAGCGUACACGGUGGAUGCCCUGGCAGUCAGAGGCGAUGAAGGACGUGCUAAUCUGCGAUAAGCGUCGGUAAGGUGAUAUGAACCGUUAUAACCGGCGAUUUCCGAAUGGGGAAACCCAGUGUGAUUCGUCACACUAUCAUUAACUGAAUCCAUAGGUUAAUGAGGCGAACCGGGGGAACUGAAACAUCUAAGUACCCCGAGGAAAAGAAAUCAACCGAGAUUCCCCCAGUAGCGGCGAGCGAACGGGGAGCAGCCCAGAGCCUGAAUCAGUGUGUGUGUUAGUGGAAGCGUCUGGAAAGGCGCGCGAUACAGGGUGACAGCCCCGUACACAAAAAUGCACAUGCUGUGAGCUCGAUGAGUAGGGCGGGACACGUGGUAUCCUGUCUGAAUAUGGGGGGACCAUCCUCCAAGGCUAAAUACUCCUGACUGACCGAUAGUGAACCAGUACCGUGAGGGAAAGGCGAAAAGAACCCCGGCGAGGGGAGUGAAAAAGAACCUGAAACCGUGUACGUACAAGCAGUGGGAGCACGCUUAGGCGUGUGACUGCGUACCUUUUGUAUAAUGGGUCAGCGACUUAUAUUCUGUAGCAAGGUUAACCGAAUAGGGGAGCCGAAGGGAAACCGAGUCUUAACUGGGCGUUAAGUUGCAGGGUAUAGACCCGAAACCCGGUGAUCUAGCCAUGGGCAGGUUGAAGGUUGGGUAACACUAACUGGAGGACCGAACCGACUAAUGUUGAAAAAUUAGCGGAUGACUUGUGGCUGGGGGUGAAAGGCCAAUCAAACCGGGAGAUAGCUGGUUCUCCCCGAAAGCUAUUUAGGUAGCGCCUCGUGAAUUCAUCUCCGGGGGUAGAGCACUGUUUCGGCAAGGGGGUCAUCCCGACUUACCAACCCGAUGCAAACUGCGAAUACCGGAGAAUGUUAUCACGGGAGACACACGGCGGGUGCUAACGUCCGUCGUGAAGAGGGAAACAACCCAGACCGCCAGCUAAGGUCCCAAAGUCAUGGUUAAGUGGGAAACGAUGUGGGAAGGCCCAGACAGCCAGGAUGUUGGCUUAGAAGCAGCCAUCAUUUAAAGAAAGCGUAAUAGCUCACUGGUCGAGUCGGCCUGCGCGGAAGAUGUAACGGGGCUAAACCAUGCACCGAAGCUGCGGCAGCGACGCUUAUGCGUUGUUGGGUAGGGGAGCGUUCUGUAAGCCUGUGAAGGUGUGCUGUGAGGCAUGCUGGAGGUAUCAGAAGUGCGAAUGCUGACAUAAGUAACGAUAAAGCGGGUGAAAAGCCCGCUCGCCGGAAGACCAAGGGUUCCUGUCCAACGUUAAUCGGGGCAGGGUGAGUCGACCCCUAAGGCGAGGCCGAAAGGCGUAGUCGAUGGGAAACAGGUUAAUAUUCCUGUACUUGGUGUUACUGCGAAGGGGGGACGGAGAAGGCUAUGUUGGCCGGGCGACGGUUGUCCCGGUUUAAGCGUGUAGGCUGGUUUUCCAGGCAAAUCCGGAAAAUCAAGGCUGAGGCGUGAUGACGAGGCACUACGGUGCUGAAGCAACAAAUGCCCUGCUUCCAGGAAAAGCCUCUAAGCAUCAGGUAACAUCAAAUCGUACCCCAAACCGACACAGGUGGUCAGGUAGAGAAUACCAAGGCGCUUGAGAGAACUCGGGUGAAGGAACUAGGCAAAAUGGUGCCGUAACUUCGGGAGAAGGCACGCUGAUAUGUAGGUGAAGUCCCUCGCGGAUGGAGCUGAAAUCAGUCGAAGAUACCAGCUGGCUGCAACUGUUUAUUAAAAACACAGCACUGUGCAAACACGAAAGUGGACGUAUACGGUGUGACGCCUGCCCGGUGCCGGAAGGUUAAUUGAUGGGGUUAGCGCAAGCGAAGCUCUUGAUCGAAGCCCCGGUAAACGGCGGCCGUAACUAUAACGGUCCUAAGGUAGCGAAAUUCCUUGUCGGGUAAGUUCCGACCUGCACGAAUGGCGUAAUGAUGGCCAGGCUGUCUCCACCCGAGACUCAGUGAAAUUGAACUCGCUGUGAAGAUGCAGUGUACCCGCGGCAAGACGGAAAGACCCCGUGAACCUUUACUAUAGCUUGACACUGGACAUUGAGCCUUGAUGUGUAGGAUAGGUGGGAGGCUUUGAAGUGUGGACGCCAGUCUGCAUGGAGCCGACCUUGAAAUACCACCCUUUAAUGUUUGAUGUUCUAACGUGGACCCGUAAUCCGGGUUGCGGACAGUGUCUGGUGGGUAGUUUGACUGGGGCGGUCUCCUCCUAAAGAGUAACGGAGGAGCACGAAGGUUGGCUAAUCCUGGUCGGACAUCAGGAGGUUAGUGCAAUGGCAUAAGCCAGCUUGACUGCGAGCGUGACGGCGCGAGCAGGUGCGAAAGCAGGUCAUAGUGAUCCGGUGGUUCUGAAUGGAAGGGCCAUCGCUCAACGGAUAAAAGGUACUCCGGGGAUAACAGGCUGAUACCGCCCAAGAGUUCAUAUCGACGGCGGUGUUUGGCACCUCGAUGUCGGCUCAUCACAUCCUGGGGCUGAAGUAGGUCCCAAGGGUAUGGCUGUUCGCCAUUUAAAGUGGUACGCGAGCUGGGUUUAGAACGUCGUGAGACAGUUCGGUCCCUAUCUGCCGUGGGCGCUGGAGAACUGAGGGGGGCUGCUCCUAGUACGAGAGGACCGGAGUGGACGCAUCACUGGUGUUCGGGUUGUCAUGCCAAUGGCACUGCCCGGUAGCUAAAUGCGGAAGAGAUAAGUGCUGAAAGCAUCUAAGCACGAAACUUGCCCCGAGAUGAGUUCUCCCUGACUCCUUGAGAGUCCUGAAGGAACGUUGAAGACGACGACGUUGAUAGGCCGGGUGUGUAAGCGCAGCGAUGCGUUGAGCUAACCGGUACUAAUGAACCGUGAGGCUUAACCUU